This 124-nucleotide small RNA is filed under the name Photobacterium gaetbulicola Gung47. RNAcentral's name for it is "Photobacterium sp. Gung47 t44 RNA". It matches the Rfam family "t44 RNA". Rfam says of the family: This family consists of a number of bacterial RNA genes of between 135 and 170 bases in length. The record is from Rfam by way of RNAcentral. Lineage: Bacteria; Pseudomonadati; Pseudomonadota; Gammaproteobacteria; Vibrionales; Vibrionaceae.
CUAAACUUUUAUUAAUCACUCACACAUAUCGGCACAUCUUCCGGGGUGCCCAGCAGUUUUUCGCGAAACUGUAACGCCUAUGGCGUUGUCUGGGUCGGUAAGAUGGGAUAUGUGGACGCCUAAC